Molecule: ribosomal RNA, 194 nt
Filed under: uncultured Stichotrichia
Lineage: Eukaryota; Ciliophora; Spirotrichea
Description: partial Bacterial large subunit ribosomal RNA
Rfam family: Bacterial large subunit ribosomal RNA
Source: RNAcentral
GGUUUAGAACGUCGUGAGACAGUUUGGUCCCUAUCUGCUGUAAAAUUUGAAAAAAAAAAAAUUCCUACUUUAGUACGAGAGGACUUAGACGGAUUAAUCAAUGGUUUGCCGAUUAUUUAUCAAAUAUAAGUAAGUCGGCCCGCUAAAUUAAGAUUUGAUAAUUGCUGAAUACAUAUGAAGCAAGAAGCAUUUUU